CUANACAAUGCGAGUCAUGCGUCUCUAGCUAUGUUGAGACGCGGCAGACGGCUCAGUAACGCGUGGCUAACCUACCCUCAGGACGAAGAUAACCCCGGGAAACUGGGGAUAAUAUUCGAUAGGUGAGGAUGUCUGGAAUGACUUCUCUCCUAAAGGACUUAGAUACAUGCUUCUAUUUCGCCUGGGGAUGGGGCCGCGCCCGAUCAGGUUGUUGGUGAGGUAACGGCUCACCAAGCCUAUAACCGGUACGGGCCGUGAGAGCGGUAGCCCGGAGAUGGGUACUGAGACAAGGACCCAGGCCCUACGGGGCGCAGCAGUCGCGAAAACUCCGCAAUGCACGAAAGUGUGACGGGGCUACCCCGAGUGCCAUCCGCUGAGGAUGGCUUUUCUUUUGGUAUAACUAGCCAUGGGAAUAAGGAGAGGGCAAGACUGGUGUCAGCCGCCWCGGUAAUACCAGCUCUCCGAGUGGUAGGGAUGAUUAUUGGGCUUAAAGCGUCCGUAGCCGGCUUAGCAAGUUUCCUGUUAAACCCAGCGACUCAAUCGUUGGAUCGCGGGAAAUACUACUAGGCUAGGAGGCGGGAGAGGUCAACGGUACUUCUGGGGUAGGGGUGAAAUCCUAUAAUCCCGGGAGGACCACCAGUGGCGAAGGCUGUUGACUAGAACGCGCUCGACGGUGAGGGACGAAAGCUGGGGGAGCGAACCGGAUUAGAUACCCGGGUAGUCCCAGCUGUAAACGAUGCAAGCUAGGUGUUGGAAUGGCUACGGGCCAUUUCAGUGCCGCAGGGAAGCCAUUAAGCUCGCCGCCUGGGGAGUACGGCCGCAAGGCUGAAACUUAAAGGAAUUGGCGGAGGAGCACCACAAGGCGUGAAGCUUGCGGUUC
This 880-nucleotide ribosomal RNA is filed under the name uncultured eukaryote. RNAcentral describes it as "bacterial SSU rRNA". It matches the Rfam family "Archaeal small subunit ribosomal RNA", at positions 44 to 903 of the family's 1478-position model. The record is from RNAcentral.